GAUGAACGCUGGCGGCGUGCUUAACACAUGCAAGUCGAACGAUGAUGCCCAGCUUGCUGGGUGGAUUAGUGGCGAACGGGUGAGUAACACGUGAGUAACCUGCCCUUGACUCUGUGAUAAGCCUGGGAAACUGUGUCUAAUACCGGAUACGACCAUCUGGCGCAUGUCAUGGUGGUGGAAAGCUUUUGUGGUUUUGGAUGGACUCGCGGCCUAUCAGCUUGUUGGUGGGGUAAUGGCCUACCAAGGCGACGACGGGUAGCCGGCCUGAGAGGGUGACCGGCCACACUGGGACUGAGACACGGCCCAGACUCCUACGGGAGGCAGCAGUGGGGAAUAUUGCACAAUGGGCGCAAGCCUGAUGCAGCGACGCCGCGUGAGGGAUGACGGCCUUCGGGUUGUAAACCUCUUUCAGUAGGGAAGAAGCGAAAGUGACGGUACCUGCAGAAGAAGCGCCGGCUAACUACGUG
Molecule: ribosomal RNA, 467 nt
Filed under: uncultured bacterium
Lineage: Bacteria
Description: partial 16S ribosomal RNA
Rfam family: Bacterial small subunit ribosomal RNA
Source: RNAcentral